CUUGAAUCCCUUCUGAAUGCUUUGGUCAGGAGGUUCAGAUUAGAUAGAAAUAGGUGGAGAAAAGAUUUUUCAGGAAAAAUGACAGCAUUUUUUAAAAUUAAGUGUAUGAUACAAUUAGUUUACUCAUUGUUAAGUCAGUGAAACAUCCAGAGGGCUGAUUGUUGAAAUUGAUAAGCAAAGCUAUAGACAAAGUAGACAAAAGGAACAUGUAGGGAUCCUAUUGGUGGAGGCGGGUGGUUGCAAUAGACAAAGGAGUUAGGUAAUAGACAAAUUAUCGGCAAUCCAAGAGAGACCCUAUAGUUAGUCCAUCAUUUAUCCUCUAGUCUAAGAACCACCCAUUUCAACCAAAACGAUCACUCCUACUCCCUAUGUCUUCUUGUCUAUAGCUUUGUCUAUCAAUUUCAACAAUCAGCCAGCUGAUCCAACUCAAAGGUGAUAAAUCUCAUGUUACUCUCGCCAGUCUUUGCUAGAAAGAAAAAUUUGCCCUGGUCAACCACCAUUCAUGUCAUUCCUGGUCAUUUUGCCUGGCUUUAACAUGAAUCCUCCCAAAUUUGAAAUUAAUUUUGGUUGUCAUUAGUUUCAGAAUGCUCCGACGACGAAUCUGAUAAAGACCACAACCCAAUAGUAGAGCUCAUCGCCAAAAAAACGCUCCCAAUUAGUCAAAAUGGCGAAAAAUGGGGCGAAUGAGUUCCACAGUGUUCGAAAACGACUGAAACUCAACAAGAAUGACUCAAUUUACAGUGAAGAUGACUCGUGCCGCUUCAACAUCAAAAUCAGGCUGCCAAAAAGACCUUUAAAAUCAAGCAGAAGCUUGCCAAAAAGUUGAAGCAGAACAGGCCUAUUCCCCAAUGGAUCCGCAUGAGGACGGGAAUACCAUCAGGUAUAAUGCCAAGAGGACGUCACUGGAGAAGAACAAAGCUGAAGUUGUAAACAACUCCAAACAAAUCUUACAUUCCGUAUUUUUUUUUUUCUUUUUCUGCUUAAUUUGAUGUAUCGAAAGAAUGAAGAUUUUUUCACAUUUUAUCUGUAAAAAACUGUACAGCGAUUUCCUUUUUUAUAAUGUUCUGAUUCAUUUUGUUGAAAUAAAUGAAAUGAAGGAUUAAUUGUAGUCAUCUUCAUCAUUAAAUGGGUACCAAACUAAUAUUUUCAUAUUUUAUUAGGAUUUAAACAAAAAAUUAAAAAUUACUUUAAUGGACUUAGCAAUAAACAGCAAGAAAUUUGGCUGCCAAAUUUCAAGACUUUUUGAUAAAUAAUUUAUUAUGACCUCAUUAACAUGAUGAGCUUUAAAAAUCUAACUUUCUGUUGCGAUGUGAGAAAAGAUAAGCUGAAAAGCCAACUUUCCAGCCUUUUUAC
Molecule: long non-coding RNA, 1353 nt
Filed under: Bemisia tabaci
Lineage: Eukaryota; Metazoa; Arthropoda; Insecta; Hemiptera; Aleyrodidae
Description: lncRNA ENSSWEETPG009550
Source: RNAcentral